RNAcentral lists this ribosomal RNA (468 nucleotides) under uncultured bacterium. RNAcentral's name for it is "partial 16S ribosomal RNA". It matches the Rfam family "Bacterial small subunit ribosomal RNA", at positions 28 to 507 of the family's 1533-position model. The record is from RNAcentral.
GACGAACGCUGGCGGCGUGCUUAACACAUGCAAGUCGAACGGAAAGGCCCUGCUUUUGUGGGGUGCUCGAGUGGCGAACGGGUGAGUAACACGUGAGUAACCUGCCCUUGACUUUGGGAUAACUUCAGGAAACUGGGGCUAAUACCGGAUAGGAGCUCCUGCUGCAUGGUGGGGGUUGGAAAGUUUCGGCGGUUGGAGAUGGACUCGCGGCUUAUCCGCUUGUUGGUGGGGUAGUGGCUUACCAAGGCUUUGACGGGUAGCCGGCCUGAGAGGGUGACCGGCCACAUGGGUACUGAGAGACGGCCCAGACUCCUACGGGAGGCAGCAGUGGGGAAUAUUGCACAAUGGGCGGAAGCCUGAUGCAGCAACGCCGCGUGCGGGAUGACGGCCUUCGGGGUGUAAACCGCUUUGGCCGGUGACAAAGAGGGAGUGACGGUAAUGGGUAAAGAAGCACCGGCUAACUACGUG